This 186-nucleotide unclassified non-coding RNA is filed under the name rhizosphere metagenome. RNAcentral's name for it is "partial ribosomal RNA internal transcribed spacer region". The record is from RNAcentral.
GAAUUUAGCGCAUCUGCUUGCAGAGCGUGACCCCACUCUAUAAUAUACACUGUGCACUUAUUGGCGAAGGAAAAGAUUGUCAUUUCGAUUUCGAUUUCUUUUCUUUGCGGCUCACUUUUAAACACCAGUCAAAGUAUGUAUAUAAAUAAAAUAAGAAAAACUUUCAACAACGGAUCUCUUGGCUCU